AUCAAGCUGACGAGUCCCAAAUAGGAUGAAACGUAUGUCGUGAAU
Schistosoma mattheei is the source of this 45-nucleotide non-coding RNA. NCBI's taxonomy places the organism in Eukaryota, Metazoa, Platyhelminthes, Trematoda, Strigeidida, Schistosomatidae. The record is from Rfam.